AACCGAAAGGAGGGAGCUGCCGAAGGUGGGACCGAUAACUGGGGUGAAGUCGUAACAAGGUAGCCGUAUCGGAAGGUGCGGCUGGAUCACCUCCUUUCUAAGGAA
RNAcentral lists this ribosomal RNA (105 nucleotides) under Dorea formicigenerans. RNAcentral describes it as "partial 16S ribosomal RNA". It matches the Rfam family "Bacterial small subunit ribosomal RNA", at positions 1437 to 1533 of the family's 1533-position model. Lineage: Bacteria; Bacillati; Bacillota; Clostridia; Lachnospirales; Lachnospiraceae. The record is from RNAcentral.